AGAUUGAACGCUGGCGGCAGGCCUAACACAUGCAAGUCGAGCGGUAGAGAGGUGCUUGCACCUCUUGAGAGCGGCGGACGGGUGAGUAAUGCCUAGGAAUCUGCCUAGUGGUGGGGGAUAACGUUCGGAAACGGACGCUAAUACCGCAUACGUCCUACGGGAGAAGGCGGGGGACCUUCGGGCCUCGCGCCAUUAGAUGAGCCUAGGUCGGAUUAGCUAGUUGGUGAGGUAAUGGCUCACCAAGGCGACGAUCCGUAACUGGUCUGAGAGGAUGAUCAGUCACACUGGAACUGAGACACGGUCCAGACUCCUACGGGAGGCAGCAGUGGGAAUAUUGGACAAUGGGCGAAAGCCUGAUCCAGCCAUGCCGCGUGUGUGAAGAAGGUCUUCGGAUUAGUAAAGCUAACGUUUUAAGGUUGGGAAGGUAAAGGGUUUGUAAACGUUUAAGUACGUUGACUAAACUUUGACGUUACCGACAGAAUAAGCAACCGGCUAACUUCGUGCCAGCAGCCGA
Molecule: ribosomal RNA, 514 nt
Filed under: uncultured soil bacterium
Lineage: Bacteria
Description: bacterial SSU rRNA
Rfam family: Bacterial small subunit ribosomal RNA
Source: RNAcentral